AGUCGAGGGGCAGCAUGAACUUAGCUUGCUAAGUUUGAUGGCGACCGGCGCACGGGUGAGUAACGCGUAUCCAACCUGCCCUUUACUCGGGGAUAGCCUUCUGAAAGGAAGUUUAAUACCCGAUGAAUUCGUUCAGUCGCAUGGCUUGAUGAAGAAAGAUUUAUCGGUAAAGGAUGGGGAUGCGUCCCAUUAGCUUGUUGGCGGGGUAACGGCCCACCAAGGCGACGAUGGGUAGGGGUUCUGAGAGGAAGGUCCCCCACAUUGGAACUGAGACACGGUCCAAACUCCUACGGGAGGCAGCAGUGAGGAAUAUUGGUCAAUGGGCGCGAGCCUGAACCAGCCAAGUAGCGUGGAGGACGACGGCCCUACGGGUUGUAAACUCCUUUUAUAAGGGGAUAAAGUUGGCCAUGUAUGGCCAUUUGCAGGUACCUUAUGAAUAAGCAUCGGCUAAUUCCGUGCCAGCAGCCGCGGUAAUACGGAAGAUGCGAGCGUUAUCCGGAUUUAUUGGGUUUAAAGGGAGCGUAGGCGGGCAGUCAAGUCAGCGGUCAAAUGGCGCGGCUCAACCGCGUUCCGCCGUUGAAACUGGCAGCCUUGAGUAUGCACAGGGUACAUGGAAUUCGUGGUGUAGCGGUGAAAUGCUUAGAUAUCACGAGGAACUCCGAUCGCGCAGGCAUUGUACCGGGGCAUUACUGACGCUGAGGCUCGAAGGUGCGGGUAUCAAACAGGAUUAGAUACCCUGGUAGUCCGCACAGUAAACGAUGAAUGCCCGCUGUCGGCGACAUAGUGUCGGCGGCCAAGCGAAAGCGUUAAGCAUUCCACCUGGGGAGUACGCCGGCAACGGUGAAACUCAAAGGAAUUGACGG
This 863-nucleotide ribosomal RNA is filed under the name uncultured bacterium. RNAcentral describes it as "bacterial SSU rRNA". It matches the Rfam family "Bacterial small subunit ribosomal RNA", at positions 60 to 916 of the family's 1533-position model. The record is from RNAcentral.